CUCCGUGGGCUGCUUUACAACCAAAUGGGCCGACCUUUUUUUCCAAAAAGAGUUAGAACUAUUGAUACCCUCCAACCACCGCUUACCCACUAAAUAAUUGAAAUAAAUAGUACUUUUUUUUCAACCACCUUAAUUUCUUAAAUAAAUUUGAUGUUGUCUUCUUCCAAAAUAAAAUCCCUCAUUUUCUUGCAUCAGCACGCAGUAGCAAGAAUGCAAGAAUGUCCUUUCAUCUUGAUGUAUUUUAUUAACUAACUCAUUAAAGUUCUUUGUCCCACAUCGAGUGAUCAAAAGAAACAAAUAUGCCUGGUCUGGGUUUAAAAGCAGAGCUGCAACACGAAGCUAGGCAUACCUUUCUCGGCCUUUUGGCUAAGAUCAAGUGUAGUAUCUGUUCUUAUCAGUUUAAUAUCUGAUAUGUGGAUCAUCGAUCCACACGAUAUUAAAUUAAUUUUUUAAGGGGAGGGCUCAUUGCGGUAGCUUGCUACUGCGAGCCCUGAGCGUCGCCCAUGCGUUGCACUACAGCACGAGCCUGGCGCACCCCGCACCAACUCUUAUGUUUCAAAUUUAGGACAGGACAACGAAAUUCAGAAUUUGGAUGAUGGAUUUUGAGUUCAAACAAUGUAGAAAAACUGACGUUUAAUCCGUAACCAUGACUGCCGAGAUCGUGUUUACUUUCAGGAUGGAAAUCACUGACUGUCAGUCUCCACCAAAGAUUCUUUCAGAAUAAGAAACAGUUUAAUCUACUUUACGGAUGACGAUUCUGGGGAAUCAAUUUACAACAAUCCCUCUUUUGGUGGUCAUGAUAAGGGUUGUCUCCCGGGGCACCAAUAUUUUGAUGAUCAUCAUCAUAGAUUGAAGAUUGAACCACUUCCCUUCUGGGUCGUUCCUAAUCCGUGGUAGCUAGACUUCUGAGUUUUGCAUUCAGCGUUGAGCUGGAACUUUGUGUUCAACCGUACGAUAAUCUUUGUGCGACUUCAAACACAAUUAGUGAUCAAAUGAACACAAUUGGUUUCAUAACACCUUUCAAAUAAAAAGCGAUUGAUGUGUUAUUUUUUGGGUCACUUGAGUAGAGUUCUUGCGAAGAAUUAUUUUUAACUAAAUGAGGAAAAGACAAUCUCUAGAUGCGUCAAUCGUAUACAAUAUACACACUUUUUAGCUUAUAAUAAAGAAAUUGUGCAUAGAGUUUUAAGGCGUGAAACCUUUGACUACUUAGUCUUAAUGGCUGCAUAAUUGACUAAGCACAUUAUAUACCCCGUCCAUUUUUUU
RNAcentral lists this long non-coding RNA (1263 nucleotides) under Citrus maxima (pomelo). RNAcentral describes it as "long non-coding RNA (CMAX_LNC002855)". The stretch from base 346 to 540 matches the Rfam family "U2 spliceosomal RNA". Lineage: Eukaryota; Viridiplantae; Streptophyta; Magnoliopsida; Sapindales; Rutaceae. The record is from RNAcentral.